This 260-nucleotide long non-coding RNA is filed under the name Gossypium barbadense (sea-island cotton). Its description in RNAcentral is "long non-coding RNA (GBAR_LNC007425)". The record is from RNAcentral. Lineage: Eukaryota; Viridiplantae; Streptophyta; Magnoliopsida; Malvales; Malvaceae.
UGCAACGUCUAUGUAGCAAAGGACCUACACGAUGUGGACUGAUAUAUUACCAUCCUUGGAUGCCCCAAUUAUAAUAAUUGGACUUUAGAAUUCCUCUUGACCCAACUCUUGACCCAGCUCCUAAGUGGGUCAACAAAACUGGAUAACCCAACAAGAUCGAAAGAGCCCAAAUCGUCCAUUCGGAAGGAAUGAGCCCAAACUGUCCAUGAAAACUUGGUAAUCAACCAAUUCAACCACCAAUCAACCAUGAGGGAAUCAAG